Trichomycterus rosablanca is the source of this 155-nucleotide long non-coding RNA. RefSeq lists it as uncharacterized. The transcript has 3 exons. The record is from RefSeq and is a predicted model, not a curated record. Lineage: Eukaryota; Metazoa; Chordata; Actinopteri; Siluriformes; Trichomycteridae.
AGAAAGACUUAUGAGAGAAGGCAAAAAGAACACAUGCACCCCUAUUAAACAUUACAGGCGGCACAGGGCAGACAUACGAUCUGGACAGGGCACCAAUCCAUGGCAGGUUCCUGCUCUUAAGAGGGAGGUGCAGGGCGCUGAGAUAAAUAUUGCAC